This 273-nucleotide ribosomal RNA is filed under the name uncultured prokaryote. RNAcentral describes it as "partial 16S ribosomal RNA". It matches the Rfam family "Bacterial small subunit ribosomal RNA", at positions 524 to 796 of the family's 1533-position model. The record is from RNAcentral.
AACGUAGGAGACUAGCGUUAUCCGGAUUUAUUGGGCGUAAAGCGCGUGUAGGCGGUGCUUCAAGUUGGAUGUGAAAUCUCCUGGCCUAACUGGGAGGGGCCAUUCAAAACUGGGGCACUUGAGGGCAGAAGAGGGAAGUGGAAUUCCCGGUGUAGCGGUGGAAUGCGUAGAUAUCGGGAGGAACACCUGUGGCGAAAGCGGCUUCCUGGGCUGCCCCUGACGCUGAUACGCGAAAGCUAGGGGAGCGAACGGGAUUAGAAACCCUAGUAGUCC